CCUUAGAGUUUGAUCCUGGCUCAGGAUGACCUUUGGCGGCGUGCUUAACACAUGCAAGUCGAACGGGGCACCCCCAAAGGAGUUUUCGGACAACUGCGGGGAAUGCCUAGUGGCGAACGGGUGAGUAACGCGUGAGCAACCUGCCUUGGAGUGGGGAAUAACAGAUGGAAACAUCUGCUAAUACCGCAUGAUGCAGUUGGGCCACAUGGCUCUGACUGCCAAAGAUUUAUCGCUCUGAGAUGGGCUCGCGUCUGAUUAGCUAGUUGGCGGGGCAACGGCCCACCAAGGCGACGAUCAGUAGCCGGACUGAGAGGUUGGCCGGCCACAUUGGGACUGAGACACGGCCCAGACUCCUACGGGAGGCAGCAGUGGGGAAUAUUGGGCAAUGGGCGCAAGCCUGACCCAGCAACGCCGCGUGAAGGAAGAAGGCUUUCGGGUUGUAAACUUCUUUUCUCAGGGACGAACAGAUGACGGUACCUGAGGAAUAAGCCACGGCUAACUACGUGCCAGCAGCCGCGGUAAUACGUAGGUGGCAAGCAUUAUCCGGAUUUACUGGGUGUAAAGGGCGUGUAGGCGGGGACGCAAGUCAGAUGUGAAAACCACGGGCUCAACCUGUGGCCUGCAUUUGAAACUGUGUUUCUUGAGUACUGGAGAGGCAGACGGAAUUCCUAGUGUAGCGGUGAAAUGCGUAGAUAUUAGGAGGAACACCAGUGGCGAAGGCGGUCUGCUGGACAGCAACUGACGCUGAGGCGCGAAAACGUGGGGAGCAAACAGGAUUAGAUACCCUGGUAGUCCACGCUGUAAACGAUGGAUACUAGGUGUGGGGGGACUGACCCCCUCCGUGCCGCAGUUAACACAAUAAGUAUCCCACCUGGGGAGUACGAUCGCAAGGUUGAAACUCAAAGGAAUUGACGGGGGCCCGCACAAGCGGUGGAGUAUGUGGUUUAAUUCGAAGCAACGCGAAGAACCUUACCAGGGCUUGACAUCCCGAGGCCCGGUGUAGAGAUACACCUUUCUCUUCGGAGACCUCGGUGACAGGUGGUGCAUGGUUGUCGUCAGCUCGUGUCGUGAGAUGUUGGGUUAAGUCCCGCAACGAGCGCAACCCUUAUUGUUAGUUGCUACGCAAGAGCACUCUAGCGAGACUGCCGUUGACAAAACGGAGGAAGGUGGGGACGACGUCAAAUCAUCAUGCCCCUUAUGGCCUGGGCUACACACGUGCUACAAUGGCGUAAACAAAGGGAAGCGAGCCUGCGAGGGUAAGCGAAUCCCAAAAAUAACGUCCCAGUUCGGAUUGCAGUCUGCAACUCGAGUGCAUGAAGCUGGAAUCGCUAGUAAUCGCGGAUCAGAAUGCCGCGGUGAAUACGUUCCCGGGUCUUGCACAAAGCGCCCGUCA
Molecule: ribosomal RNA, 1393 nt
Filed under: uncultured bacterium
Lineage: Bacteria
Description: bacterial SSU rRNA
Rfam family: Bacterial small subunit ribosomal RNA
Source: RNAcentral